AUGGGUACAAUAUUCUGCCUUCCCCACCAACCCACAGUGGAUCAAAUUAAGAGUGUGACAGAAGUAGAAAACAGAGGAGGGAUUCACCCUGAAGCUGGAUUUGAUAAUGCAAACACAUCUGGAGUUUCAGUUCAGUAUGUGGACAACCAAGAAGUGAUUUCUGAAGGCACAUUUGAGGACGAUAAUAUAUUAAUCGAGCCUACUGUAAAGAUUUCAGUCCAGUGCAUGGAGAACCAGAGAGGCCUUCAUGGGCAAAUUUUGUAUGAUGAUGUGUCAUACCCCAUCCAUCUCCAACCUCAAGCUGAGCCGGAUAUUCAGGAUGAAGGCAUUGUAGUUGACAUGGAAGAAGAUGAAGGACAGGAAUUGUACUAAUGUGUAUUUGAUGUGAAGAAAAGUUUAGCACCUUUAGGUUAUAAAGUUAACAUGGAAUGAGAUUAAUUUUGGGGAUUGACUUGUGCGGAAACUAAAUAUUUCACACGCAGUUUUUUUUAAGGAAAUGUGUUGAAAUUGAAAUGUAGGAAAGUGAUGAAGGACAAGUAUUACUCCCCACUAAAUUAUAAUUAUAAAUCAAGUUUAUGGAAUUAGAUUUUCUUUUAUAAAUAAAAUGUUUAUGAACAGUAUUAGUUUAAAUGUU
This is a long non-coding RNA of Cyprinus carpio (common carp), 634 nucleotides long. Lineage: Eukaryota; Metazoa; Chordata; Actinopteri; Cypriniformes; Cyprinidae. The record is from Ensembl.